GACGAACGCUGGCGGCGUGCUUAACACAUGCAAGUCGAGCGGUAAGGCCCUUUCGGGGGUACACGAGCGGCGAACGGGUGAGUAACACGUGGGUGACCUGCCCUCAGCUCUGGGAUAAGCCUGGGAAACCGGGUCUUAAUACUGGAUAUGACUCCAUGACGCAUGUUGUGGGGUGGAAAGCCCUGUGCGGCUGAGGAUGGGCCCGCGGCCUAUCAGCUUGUUGGUGGGGUGANGGCCUACCAAGGCGACGACGGGUAGCCGGCCUGAGAGGGCGACCGGCCACACUGGGACUGAGACACGGCCCAGACUCCUACGGGAGGCAGCAGUGGGGAAUCUUGCGCAAUGGGCGAAAGCCUGACGCAGCGACGCCGCGUGAGGGAUGACGGCCU
This 389-nucleotide ribosomal RNA is filed under the name uncultured bacterium. Its description in RNAcentral is "bacterial SSU rRNA". It matches the Rfam family "Bacterial small subunit ribosomal RNA", at positions 28 to 417 of the family's 1533-position model. The record is from RNAcentral.